This 322-nucleotide ribosomal RNA is filed under the name uncultured bacterium. RNAcentral's name for it is "bacterial SSU rRNA". It matches the Rfam family "Bacterial small subunit ribosomal RNA", at positions 202 to 507 of the family's 1533-position model. The record is from RNAcentral.
GAUGGCCUCUACUUGUAAGCUAUCGCUGAGGGAUGGGCCUGCGGGCCAUUAGCUUGUUGGUGAGGUAACGGCUCACCAAGGCUGUGAUGGCUAGCUGGUCUGAGAGGAUGACCAGCCACACUGGGACUGAGACACGGCCCAGACUCCUACGGGAGGCAGCAGUGGGAAUAUUGCGCAAUGGGCGAAAGCCUGACGCAGCGACGCCGCGUGGGUGAUGAAGGCCUUCGGGUCGUAAAGCCCUGUCGCAGGGGAAGAAUAAGCAUCGGUAUAAUACGCCGGUGCCCUGACGGUACCCUGCAAGAAAGCACCGGCUAACUCCGUG